UACAGAGGUCUCAAGCGUUGUUCGGAUUCAUUGGGCGUAAAGCGUGUGUAGGCGGACUUGUAAGUACCUUGUGAAAUCCCACGGCUCAACCGUGGAACUGCUUGGUAUACUGCUUGUCUUGAGCCACUUAGGGGCUACCGGAACAAAUGGUGGAGCGGUGAAAUGCGUAGAUAUCAUUUGGAACGCCAAUGGUGAAAACAGGUAGCUGGGAGUGUGCUGACGCUGAGACACGAAAGCCAGGGGAGCGAACGGG
This 253-nucleotide ribosomal RNA is filed under the name uncultured bacterium. RNAcentral's name for it is "partial 16S ribosomal RNA". It matches the Rfam family "Bacterial small subunit ribosomal RNA", at positions 524 to 776 of the family's 1533-position model. The record is from RNAcentral.